AUUUUUACAGAAAAGUCCUUGAACUUCAACCCUCCAUAACUUUUUAUCCGUAACUCCAAAUGAGGUGAUUCCAAAGCCUACUUAUUUGUUUCGUUGAGCCCAUUCUGUUGAUCACACUUUCACUAUGUGUUAACAUUUUGAAAAUGAUCAUUAUGCCCUUGCCAUUAAUCAGCCCCCUCCGAGAGAGAACGAUUUCCGGCGAUUAUUUCCGCGAGCUUCUCGCACUUUCUCCUGGUGAUUUCUUCCACCCCAGGCAAGCCACACCCUCCAUUUGCAUCACUAUAAUGCAGUGACAUGGUUUAACUUAUUUGAACUUGUUUAAAAUAUUGUUUUAGCUACUUGUGAUCUGUGCAUGGCAUUUUCUCGAAGUAUUACUUUGAUCUUGCUGUUGCCAUGCCAUUGUUUGGAUUACUAGGAGUUGUGUUUGUAGUUGAUGAGUAUCAUGUUGCCAUUAGAGUAUUAGUGGAUGAUAUUAUGAUUGUUUCAUGAUGGUAUCUGUUAUUUUGGAGUAUUACUUUGGAUGUCAUGCUGCCUUUGGAUUAUUAGUGGUUAGUAUGAUGAUUUUCAUGAUGUUGUUUUGUUGCUUGGAGUAUUAUUUUUGGAGAUGAUGUUUACAUGUGGAUCUUAGUUGGAUAGCUUGUUCUUACAUAUUGGAGUAGUAGUAUUGCUGUUGUCAGAUUCAUCAUGAUAGUAGUGUUGUGCUACCCUUGGAGUAUUUUGAGAUGACGAUAUUAUGCUUGGAUUAUUUGUUGGAUAUUGCUAUGACUUGGAUUAUAGUCCGAUAGUUGAUAUCGGAGUAUCAGUUAGCACAAUUAUAUUUUUGGGGUUAAAUUCCGUCAUUAAGUUGGUCAGGUGACGCCAAACCGGGCUUUUCCAGUGCAACCACAUUUGCCGAUAUGGGACGGCCCUAAUGCGAUGCUAUUGUCGUGCCUCUCGCCGGUGCCUCCAACGAGGGAAGGUUAUGGGCGUGCGCUACCCUAAUCAGGUAGGAGGACAUAAGCCUUGUGUGCCCGUAGUUGGAUUUUGCAUGCGGGUCCCCGUGUGGGAUCGUGGCCAGGACGGUGGUCAUUGUGUCUUUGGUAGACAUGGGGCCACCCAUGACUUAGCCCAGAGGGAAGUGAGUCGGAGUGGUCGGGAGAGUGUCAUGGCAGUAGGUCGGUUUUAUCAGAACGCCGUUGGUCCACCCGAAUGGGAGUGCGAGGCCAUGGGUUCCGUGGUGUGGGUACAGUGCACUACCUCUGCAGAGUGUGUGUUUAAUCUAUCAAUAGUCGCGUCCUCGGUCAUGGGCAUGGGUUCGUACUAGGUCACACCGUUCGAUCAACACUCACAUGACAGAAUGACUUAUAGGUGAUUGAUAUGUUGAUGAUGUUGAGACCAAGUGUUGGUCGUGGUAGUGAUCGCCGUAAGGAUCACGGGCCAAAUAUUGGUCGUGGUAGUGAUCGCUGUAAGGAUGACGGGCCAAAUAUUGGUCGUGGUUGUGAUCGCCGUAAGGAUCACGGGCCAAAUAUUUUUCGUGGUUGUGAUCGCCGUAUGGAUCAUGGGCCAAAUAUUGGUCAUGGUAGUGAUCGUAGUAAGGAUCACGGGCCAAACAUUGGUCGUGGUUGGGAUCGCCGUAGGGAUCACAGUUUCAUGGUAGUUAUCGCCGGAAAGAUCACCUUUUGGUCUUGAUCACGAGGUGAUCGAGAUGGUAUAUUGCUUGGUCGGUUAGCCAGGAGAGAUAUGGUUAUGGAGAUCUGAGAUGGUGAUUUAUCAGUAUUGUAGUAGUUUCAUAUCAUGCUUAGUAGUAGCUACUGUAUCAUGGUAGCUGUUAAUUUAAUCAACCUGCUUAAUGCUAUGUUGUUGUCUUGCCUUGAUGUUUUUGGUUGUUGUGAGCUUGCAGGUACAUUCAAUGUACUGACCUGGCGUGUCAUGCCAGAUUGCUGGUGAUGCCGUGAUUGCUUGAUUGCUUGUCGUUGUUUCCGUUCGUGCGAGCUAGAUCGUGUCCCAGCCAGAGUCCCUGUAGAGUGGAGUUCACCACCUUCAUCGUUGUUCCGCUGCUAGAAGAUUUCUGCUGGUUCGAGUUGUUCCGCUGCUAGCAUAGAGCAAGUGUAGUAUUGCAGGCGUAGUGUCGCCGUGCUGAUGUGCUUCUUUGUAACAUCAGACCUUUGUAUUUAUUCUUGUAAUAAGAGCUGAUUUGUUCUAUGUCAAGCAGCCGUAUUCCAGAAGACUUCUCCUCGAUCUCUGGGCUGGAAUACGGGGCAUUCCGGUUUCUCUGAGCCGGAGUGCCACAUCGCUUGGUAUCAGAGUAGGUCUAGCUGUAGGACGCCCUAGUCAGCGCGAGCGGUAGAAACCGGUAGAAAUCAGUAGUAUAGAGUCUGGCUUGUUUGUUGGAUUUGGUUGCUGCAUUUGUUUGUUGCAUAGCAUGCAUAUAGCCUUAGUAUUUGUACUAAUGGUUUAUCUGGUGAGUGUAGCUGGCAUCGGUUCAGAUCCACUACAGCUCAACCUUUGCAUUUCUCCAGUUCCUUUUUCUUUUGGUGUUUGGUGUCAUUUCUGUCCCUGCUGAGUGAUGCCAAGUGAUCCCGACACUGUUUGCAAAAAUGGUGCUCAGGUAUCGCAUCGAUGUCUUUCUUUCAGUUCCGUCUAUCAUUCCAGUGAUGGACAUGCUUCUAUCCUAGAUCGUUCUUUUAUUUUGUCAUGUUGGCAACCCUUAAUGAUCUUAGUUAUCAAGAAAGGGCAAUGUCAGUAGCCUCAGUUUUUCCCCGCUAUCCUCAUUUCUUGGACGAGUACGGAUCUUUUUCCGUCCGCUUGAUAAUAAUGUGGUUGCGACCUUUGUGUCCCACUAAAUGAUUACCGAGUACGUCCUCACCUCCUAGCUAGUUCAGGUUGCCACCUGGCUAAGCUAGCACUUGGUGUAGCACUGUUUACACCAACUCUUCCACACAUUUAUUCGUCCACGUGUACAUUGUCACAGCAUGCUAGAUCGUAGAACCGGAGAUCCUGCGAGAUUUGUGUGCUUAAGUAGGCAUGCAUAUUGUGUGACUAGCAGUAAUAUGUGACAUUGAUUGUGUGUGAAUUGAUUGUUGUUGUGUGUUUUUGUUUAGUUGAGUUUUCUUUUCCCCUUUCUUUUUGGGCCCCGGUGUUACAUUAUUUUUCCCCUAUAAAGAAUUGCUCAACCACCGACACCGGACUCAAACAAGCAAUAAUGAUUUGAAAUAUUUGGAAGAAGCUCAGCUAGACAUUAUUGUCUACACAAUCAACUGCAUUAUGGGAUUAAAAUCUGCUCAGAAUACCAAUGGUGUAUUGAAUUGAUUAUCAGCAUCAAGUCCCCAUCAGUACCAAAUCCUCACAACAUUUAUGAUCCAGCCAGCAGAAAGACCAGUCAGUUGCAAGACCAACGGUAUAUUUUCAGACAGAGGUAUGGAUCCUAUAUAAAGUUUGGCUCAGCAAUGCAUGAUGCUUGAAAUAUGUUAUCAUCUGCAAUAAAGUCAGAAUGUGAUAUGCUCAAGGAAGACAGUCAAACCAUUUUUCUCAUGCAAAUAAUCAGCCUCAGAAUAUUAUGGGCAUGUGUAUGGAUUUCAGUUUGCAUAUCAGUAUGAAGUUUUGGAUAUAAGAAACUCAGUCUUCUUCCACACACUAUCGGAAGAAAUUUAUGAGGCAAGGCUCCUCAAUUUUUCCUCAGCAUGAUACGUGAACAAUUUCCGACCCACGAUACCCAGUCUUUCUCAGCAAGAUACCUCGAUAAAAGCUUCUGAUAGACGGAAAUGAAAUUUUCUCAACAAGCAAACCUGAGGAGAAGCUUCUCACGUACGGAACUCAGGCUUCUCCAGCACAAUAAACAGACCAAGCUUCGUGUGUAAGCUAUAGAGCCUUCUUCUGCAUGAUACCCAAAUAUAAGAUUUGAGUAGAAGUUAACAAGUCUUCCUUAGCAAGCUACUCAGAUGGCUUCUCUCGUAAGCCACCCAGUCUGCAUCGAUGCCACAAUAUUGCAUCGUCCUCAGAGAUUAUAUGAAGAGUUGUCAAUAUAUGGAAGUACCGCUCAAGGACCAGACUUGCAAUAAUUUUGUCAGAGAUAAAAUUCAGUCAAACCAUAUGCCUACCGCAAGGAUUGAGUGUGCGGUGGCAUAUCCUUCUUGUAUAUGAUGAGCAUGCAUCCUCAGUCAUAUCAGUCACUCAUACGAGAUGCAUCAAGGAUCAAGCAGAUAUACCUAAGAAAAGUAAGGAUUCAACAACCUACCCAGUCAGGCAAAAGAAAAUAAGCAGAAAUACAUCUCCUGAAUUGGAAGGAUCGACAAGAUCUGGAGAUGACAUCACAGAAUCCACAGUCUUGACAUUGGUCAUCAAGGUCAUUAUUCCCGCAACUGACAAGGAGAUGUUAUAAAACCUUGUCACCUUCUUAUGAUUGGCCUCAGCAAUGAGCUCCGUACAGCUACAAACCUCGGAUAUAUGUCAUACGUGUGUGGACUCAGAUCAGAAAACGAGCACAAGGAAUAAUGUCAAAAAUAUUAAUCACGUCCAUGGUCAUACGAAGAAUCAAGGAUAUGUGUGGCCAAGUUAUUUCAGUAAGGUAUCCUGACAAAGAAAAUCAUGACCGUAAAAAGAUGAGACUGACAGCAAAGUAUGAUGAUUUUUGCACGACCAUCAAGGUCCGGAUCCCCAAAUCAGUCGGAGGCCAUAAUUCCAUAUGGAUCCACAAAGGCAUACUCUCAGCGACCUACUCUAUUUACAAGGAUUUUUCAUAUCCCGCUGACCCGCUUGACAUGGUUAGUGUGGAAUAUCCAAGUCUGUUCUGACAGAUUUAAGAUUCCUUUGCAACCUCAGCAGUCUGACUUCAGCGGCAGUGUUAAAGCAUAGCAUAGCCUAUUACCACAAAUAGCUAUACCAACAAAAUGAGAAAAAUCAAAAGCCGAACAAUCAGCUCAGACCUGGUAUACUCACCGAAGAAAUCAAGUACAUGGCCAGUCUGUCAGGAAAAGCAUUUGUCCGUCAGCCACCUGUCGGGCCAAUCUCAAGAUGGGAAUAAUUGAGGUAUGACACAGCUAUAACUCCAUACACCAUUAUAUUGCUCACGACACAAGGCAGUCAAAUCUUUCUCAUGCUCGAGCCAAGGAAAUAAAUCAAGAUAAAUCAGUGCCACCUGUGAGCAGUCAGAUCCCGUCAGAAGAUGUCCAUGAUAAUUCUCAGCAUUUAUUGAGACCAGAAGGCCUGCUUUUAUUUGAAACAACCCCAUGGCAGAAGUAAAAAGGUUUCAUGACCAAAGGAAAAUUUAUACUCAGAUCCAUUGGAUAUCACCGCAGAUAUGAGAAAAUUCACGGCAGGAAAAGGAUUUGGUAUGUGAUCAAAAACCCGUCAGAAUUUGGGCAAAGGUGAAGCAAGACCACCCCAGAGCAAGGUAAGUUGAUCAUCUGAAAUUAUUGGGGGAACAAUAAAUAAAGGAAAAAGGACACCCGAGUUGGAAACGGUGUCCUCAAGUCAUACUUGUUCCCUGAGCAAUCGAAUCUCGAGGAUGAGAUUUCUUUAAGGGGGUAAGAGUUGUAACAGCCUGGAUUUUGGCCCUUUUCUUUUUCUUUUGAUUUAUUUGGUUUUUGCUCUGUUUUUCUUUUUGGAGUGGUUCUGGGCCUUGCCACCUGGGAAAUCAUCCUCAUUUCCUCUCCCAAGUGGCUCAUCAUUCUCAAAACCUUGCCAAGAUCAUGUCACUUCACUCCUUGACCAAACCCUAAACUCUUUUUCUCGGGAAUAUUCCUUUUUCAUUAAAGGAAUAACCCUAUCUGCCCUAGGUUGUGAAGCAACCUAUAUUUCUGUCCAUCCAAAAAAUCCCCAAAUAAUUCUCAUAAUUCCUUUGGAUCAUAUAUAGCUCAAAUAUGCCCAAACAUUGCCUUGGCCAGUUCAAAAACAAUUCCCCAAUAUUCCUUUUUCUAUUCUGCCCUAAAUGGCACUUUGUGAAGGAAGUGUCAUUUAUGUUUCUCCUAGUGCCUCCCAACCUUUUUGGGCAUGAUUAUAUGUCCAAAUAAUUGCCCCAUGAACAAGUUCAAAUUUAUUUGCCUAGCCAAUCUUCCUCAGUGAAUUUUCAAAGUUUCUGUCAGACAGAAGGCUUUGUGAAGGAAGUACUAGCUAGGAGUCCCCAAAUGAGUUGAACUUUUGCACACUCCUUAAUGUGCUCAUAUUAAACCCCUACACCCAUUUUCAGCCCCAUCCAAUCAUCUAUGUGAGCACAGGAGCAAAUCUUUGAUUCUGGCAUUAUUUUCAGGUUGUGAAGCAAGUGUAAUUUAUAUUGCUUCAAAAAUCCUGAUAAAUUACCACAUAAUUCUUAUACCCAUACAACAUCUCUCCACCAAAUUUGGCAUCAUUUCAAUGAGCCAUUUGAUCACCAAAAUACUCCAAGAUUCUGGACAGAAAUGAUGUUUGUGAAGAAAGUGCUAUUUUGGCUUGUCCAUUUGGCAUGAACUUUUUAAAUCAUCUUUAUAUGUCCAUAUCAUGAGGAUUUUCCAAGUUGCAUCCCAUUCCAUAACUCCAUGUCAGUGCACCAUCAUGAUCUAGUUUCUGGACCAUUUUGGUCAGUUGUGAAGCAACUGCAGUAAAUCUUGGUCCAUUUCUUCCCAAACUCCCCAGGGAUGUAGUCCUUCCUAGCCUAAACACCCAAGACAUAACACUUGACACAUAGCAUCUCCCUGUUGAUCACAUUGAGCUGAUAAAGUUUACUGCAGUAAACUUCAGAGCUCACGAACCUUUUAACCAUAGUCAUUUUCACCAAACUACCACCGCAGUUGAAACCACCCUGGGAAGGACUCCACAGCUGACAAUGUUUGGCUCUUAGUAGGAAGCCAGAGCGCGUGCUAUCGGUGGUGACCACGGGAGAUGCCGGCCAAAACGGUGGUCUCGCCACUGUUGGCAACAGCAGCGCCACUCCGACUGGUUCUGGCUUGUCCCCAAGUGUCAAACAGCUCAGCCUCGUCGUCCUCUUCACUCUGGACCCCUCUCCCCCUCCGGCAGCUUCCUUGCCGACGCUCGUCGACGAUCGCCCACGGGUGCACUGUGCUCCGUUUGGAUCCAAGCUCGUUUCGGCCUCUUCCUCUGCCCCUCCGUUGGCCGUCUCUUCCGUGUGAGCUCUCCCCUAUGCCCUCCCUGUUGUUUGCCCCCGAGUUCAUGCACGCGCACACGCGUCCGCGGCGCCGGCCACGCGUCCGCGGUGACGCCAGCGCGGCAGCUCCUCCUCGUGGCUAUUUAAGCCCUCCUCGCGCCUCUCCGAGCUCACCACUCGCCUCACCCACCUCCCUGUGCCACGCCUAGCUACUCCUCCGAGCUCGAGGAGCUCUCGGCGACCACCAUUGCCGCCAUGGCCGCCGGCCAUGCUCGGCUAAAUUCUCUCAAUGCCGAGCUCCUUCCUCUCUCUCUCCUCCACCAUAGACCUCCUGCACCGCCCCUGAUACUUCCCAGUACCGCGCCUCCAUCUUUCUGUGGCUGGAGCGCCGGGUCCCAACUCCGGCCGAAGCCUCUUUCCAUCACGACCAUGGCCCUGCCCUCCCUAGCACUCUCUGGCAGAAGGGGGUGGUCCAGGCAGGAGCUCCUCGUCCUCGUGGUCGCUCCGGUGGUCUGAGCUCCACCGGAGGUGACCGGAGUCGACCUGGCGAGCACCAGCACCGACGACCUCCCUCUGCUCCACGGGCGCGUCGGGAGAGAAGGACAGGCCAGGAGGAGGGCAUUGACCUCGCGUGGGUCCCGCAGGCCCCGCGUGUCAGCCACACAUGCAUCAGCCCCACCCCUGCCACGUGGAUAAGUGGCGGACCCACCAGUAAGCCACACGUGUUGACCAGCCCCGCCACGUCAGAUAAGUGAAAGCACAUUUCUGUUUUACAUUUUCGCUAACCAAAAGCGUAUUUCUAACUUUACGUUUCUGCCUUAUCCACUCAGGGACUUGUUUGUGAUGAAAUUUUUACAAAAAAGUCACUGAACUUCAACCCUCCAUAACUUUUUAUUCGUAACUCCAAAUGAGGUGAUUCCAAUGCCUACUUCUUUGUUUCGUCAAGCCUGUUCUGUUGAUCACACUUACACUAUGUGUUAACAUUUUGAAAAUGAUCAAUAUGCCCUUGCCCUUAAUCAGUCCCCUCCGAGAGAGAACGAUUUCCGGCGAUUAUUUUUGUGAGCUUCUCGCACUUUCUCCCGGUGAUUUCUUCCACCCCAGGCAAGCCACACCCUCCAUUUGCAUCACUGUAAUGCAGUGACAUGGUUUAACUUAUUUGAACUUCUUUAAAAUAUUGUUUUAGCUACUUGUGAUUUGUGCAUGGCAUUUUCUUAGAGUAUUAUUUUGAUCUUGCUGUUGCCAUGCCAUUGUUUGGAUUACUAGGAGUUAUGUUUGUAGUUGAUGAGUAUCAUGUUGCCAUUGGAGUAUUAGUGGUUGAUAUAAUGAUUGUUUCAUGAUGGUAUCUGUUAUUUUGGAGUAUUACUUUGGAUGUCAUGCUGCCUUUGGAUUAUUAGUGGUUAGUAUGAUGAUUUUCAUGAUGUUGUUCUGUUGCUUAGAGUAUUAUUUUCGGAGAUGAUGUUUACAUGUGGAUCUUAGUUGGAUAGCUUGUUCUUGCAUAUUGGAGUAGUAGUAUUACUGUUGUCAGAUUCAUCAUGAUAGUAGUGUUGUGCUACCCUUGGAGUAUUUUGAGAUGACGAUAUUAUGCUUGGAUUAUUU
This 8650-nucleotide long non-coding RNA is filed under the name Triticum aestivum (bread wheat). RNAcentral describes it as "long non-coding RNA (TAES_LNC027360)". The record is from RNAcentral. Lineage: Eukaryota; Viridiplantae; Streptophyta; Magnoliopsida; Poales; Poaceae.